GCGUUGUCCGGGUUUACUGGGUGGAAAGGGCGUGUCGGCGGGGAAGCAAGUUUGGAGGGAAAUCUAUGGGCUCAACCCACAAACUGCUCUCAAAACUGUUUCCCUUGAGUAUCGGAGAGGCAAGCGGAAUUCCUAGUGUAGCGGUGAAAUGCGUAGAUAUUAGGAGGAACACCAGUGGCGAAGGCGGCUUGCUGGACGACAACUGACGCUGAGGCGCGAAAGCGUGGGGAGCAA
Molecule: ribosomal RNA, 234 nt
Filed under: uncultured bacterium
Lineage: Bacteria
Description: partial 16S ribosomal RNA
Rfam family: Bacterial small subunit ribosomal RNA
Source: RNAcentral